Molecule: non-coding RNA, 1426 nt
Filed under: Pongo abelii (Sumatran orangutan)
Lineage: Eukaryota; Metazoa; Chordata; Mammalia; Primates; Hominidae
Source: RNAcentral
AUCGCGAGAUCAGGAGGGUGGCCGAGGGUGUCGCCGCGGCCAUCAGGCACUUCUCCUUCCUGCCAUCAUGUGAAGAAGGAUGUGUUUGCUUCCCCUUCUGCCAUGAUUGUAAGUUUCCUGAGGCCUCCUCAGCCCUGCGGAACUGGCUAGAGCAAUGUAUCUUAGGCUCACUUAAGGAAGCUGUAGAAAUGAGCCCAAGGAGGGAAACCAGAAGAGCCCCCCAGGCUCACCAGUUGUUUGUUGGCUCCCUACAAACAUGUCAUUCAAGUGGCUAAUCUUACAACAGCACAAAUGCAUCUAACCAGAAAGAGAAGAGGAGGCUCCAAAGGCACUUGACUACUGAGCAUCACCCUGGACGUGUACAAGUCUGCGUCCUUAUUGUUUUCUUCAUUGGGCCGAACUUUCUGGUCCUCAUCCAACAGCUCUUCUAUCACAUGUUCGAAAGUGUCAGCCAACGAUGUCAGGCCUCUUGAACCCGCCUUGGGCCCAUUCACGCUCUCCAGAGUCCCAUGGGUCCGCACACCUGGAGAUACUCUAUUAUAGCAAAGAAGAAAGAUAAUUUCAUUGAGCCAUCCUGUUUUACAGGAAAUUCUGCAAGUGGCAACGUGGGUCCAUUCCGUGUGUGUCACUAGAGCUGGCGCAAGGCCAUGGCCAUGGUGAGGCACUGUUUCCACUGGAACUAAUCUGAUACCUGCACCAGCUCUUGGAACUGCAAACUAUGGAUGGGGAUUUUCCCUCCUCGUGAGUCAAAAUGAACAAGAAAUACCCCAGGACCUCCCUUCCCUCCUUGGCCAUUAAUGAGAUUAAGGCAAUUAACUCACAUAGUAUAAAUGAAUCAUUUGAGGUGAUGACUGCAUUUUAGGCAAAUGAUGACUUUCUUGGUUCCCUUGGUUUGCAAGUAAAAGUUACACACAUUGAAAAGACACUCUGAAACAGAUUUCCUAAAUGCUUCAUUUUCUGGAUACACCAAGGUUGACCUACUAUACAUGUUAAAUGGUUUUAAAAUAUCAUCUUAAAAUAAACGAAACUUCCAGCUGCUAACUCAGCUCUGAAUGGGCUAUGAAAGGCUCCAAAGGUAUGUGAAAAAUUACUGUUAUUUUGCUUUAAAAAAUGUAAUGUCUAAGAGUGUCUGCAAUGUUCUAAUGCUUCAAAACAUGUACGUAAGCCUUGUUUAUCUGGAAAUCAUUUCUUUCUGCUUAUAUCAUUUAUAAAUAGAAAAUGUUCUGUAAUAAUUUAAAAUAGUUCCACAUACAUAAUGCUUUUCGUGUCAUAAUACUUACUACUGGUCUAUAUUUACCAACAUUUAUCACAUUUUACAAAAUGAAGUAGAAGAAAAAAAAGACAACGACUUUAUGGCCCUGGAAUUCCAGUAACGGUGACCAACAUGUUUUAAAUUCCAGUAAAGGUUAUGGUUACAUUUCAACAA